This 254-nucleotide ribosomal RNA is filed under the name uncultured prokaryote. RNAcentral describes it as "partial 16S ribosomal RNA". It matches the Rfam family "Bacterial small subunit ribosomal RNA", at positions 525 to 777 of the family's 1533-position model. The record is from RNAcentral.
ACAGAGGGGGCAAGCGUUGCUCGGAAUCACUGGGCGUAAAGGGCGCGUAGGCGGGAUGGCAAGUCGGUCGUGAAAUCCCUGGGCUCAACUCAGGGGGGGUCGGCCGAUACUGCCGUUCUUGAGGGAUGCAGAGGAGACUGGAAUUCCCGGUGUAGCGGUGAAAUGUGUAGAGAUCGGGAGGAACACCGGUGGCGAAGGCGGCGCACUGGACCAUAACUGACGCUGAGGCGCGAAAGCUAGGGGAGCAAACAGGA